RNAcentral lists this ribosomal RNA (170 nucleotides) under uncultured eukaryote. RNAcentral's name for it is "partial small subunit ribosomal RNA". It matches the Rfam family "Eukaryotic small subunit ribosomal RNA", at positions 1662 to 1828 of the family's 1831-position model. The record is from RNAcentral.
GUACACACCGCCCCGUCGCUACUACCGAUUGAAUGGCUUAGUGAGGCCUCCGGAUUGGAGCCAGGUGCCCAGCAAUGGGUCCUUGGCAUCGAGAAGUUGGUCAAACUUGGUCAUUUAGAGGAAGUAAAAGUCGUAACAAGGUAUCCGUAGGUGAACCUGCAGAAGGAUCA